CCUGCCAGUAGUCAUAUGCUUGUCUCAAAGAUUAAGCCAUGCAUGUCUAAGAUCGCUAGGCCACCCGAACGGGCUGGUACGAGUAAUCUGCGAAAGGCUCAUUAUAACAGUUAUAAACUUGGCUACUAGUUGUUUACAAGGAUAACACAGCCAAAUGCAGCGAUAAUACUUGAACCGAGCAUGUCUUGUACCGAGGUACAGUAUCAGUGUUAAUAUUACAUUAAGAAAUGGAAGAUACACUAGAGAACCGAUCAAUGGUUCAAUCAGACCAAAAAUUUAUUGGCCUAGAAGAGGUAUUUCUUCCCUAUCAUGCUUGUUGUUUCAGUAAGGGUGGAAACAAGGCGUUCACGGGUACGGGGAAUCAGUGUUCGAUUCCGGAGAGGGAGCCUGAGAAACGGCUACUACAUCUAAGGAUGGCAGCAGGCGCGAAAAUUACCCAAUCCUAAAUCAAUGGAAGAGUUUGCAAAUGGUUCUAGUUCAAAUCACUAGAAGAGUAACAAUUGGAGGACAAGUCUGGUGCCAGCACCCGCGGUAAUUCCAGCUCCAAGAGCAUAUACUAAAAUUGCUGUAGUUAAAACGCUCGUAGUUUAUGAGGAGGGCUAGUAUAUCAACCUCGGCUAUGGCAGCAGUGCCUUGGCGAACGAUAUCGUUUGACAAGGACUGUGAUGGUGACAUCAGCUGUAUCCUAUCCGUAACACAGUCCAAAAGACGUGGGACGGGAGGAAGAUAUUUCUAGUACCGACGAUUGAAACCGUGAACAAAUUAAUGUGUUUAAAGCAGGCAACCAUAUUGGUUCGCUUGGAUAAUUUAGCAUGGAACCCAUGGAUAUCCUAUAAUCUUCUCACGAGGAUUAGUAGGAUGUAGAAAUAGAAGGUAGGCGGAGGACUCUGGUAUUGUGUGCUUAGAGGUGAAAUUCAGAAAUUCACGCAAGACGAUCGGAGGCGUAGGCUGUCAUUGCCCAUCACACCUUCAUUGAUCAGGAACGAAAGUCAGGGGAUCGAAGAUGAUUAGACACCGUCGUAGUCCUGGCUGUAAACGAUACUAUCAGGAGUUUGAGUGUGAACCAACUUUUUAGAUCCUCCCAGGAUCCAAGGGAAACCUUAAGACUUUGGGUUCUGGGGGGAGUAUAGUCGCAAGGCCGAAACUUAAAGGAAUUGACGGAAAGGCACCACCAGGAGUGGAGUUUGCGGC
Molecule: ribosomal RNA, 1191 nt
Filed under: uncultured soil eukaryote
Lineage: Eukaryota
Description: SSU rRNA
Rfam family: Eukaryotic small subunit ribosomal RNA
Source: RNAcentral